Molecule: ribosomal RNA, 680 nt
Filed under: Pseudomonas sp.
Lineage: Bacteria; Pseudomonadati; Pseudomonadota; Gammaproteobacteria; Pseudomonadales; Pseudomonadaceae
Description: bacterial SSU rRNA
Rfam family: Bacterial small subunit ribosomal RNA
Source: RNAcentral
CACAUGCAAGUCGAGCGGAUGAGAGGAGCUUGCUCCUGGAUUCAGCGGCGGACGGGUGAGUAAUGCCUAGGAAUCUGCCUGGUAGUGGGGGACAACGUUUCGAAAGGAACGCUAAUACCGCAUACGUCCUACGGGAGAAAGCAGGGGACCUUCGGGCCUUGCGCUAUCAGAUGAGCCUAGGUCGGAUUAGCUAGUUGGUGAGGUAAUGGCUCACCAAGGCGACGAUCCGUAACUGGUCUGAGAGGAUGAUCAGUCACACUGGAACUGAGACACGGUCCAGACUCCUACGGGAGGCAGCAGUGGGGAAUAUUGGACAAUGGGCGAAAGCCUGAUCCAGCCAUGCCGCGUGUGUGAAGAAGGUCUUCGGAUUGUAAAGCACUUUAAGUUGGGAGGAAGGGCAGUAAAUUAAUACUUUGCUGUUUUGACGUUACCGACAGAAUAAGCACCGGCUAACUCUGUGCCAGCAGCCGCGGUAAUACAGAGGGUGCAAGCGUUAAUCGGAAUUACUGGGCGUAAAGCGCGCGUAGGUGGUUCGUUAAGUUGGAUGUGAAAUCCCCGGGCUCAACCUGGGAACUGCAUUCAAAACUGUCGAGCUAGAGUAUGGUAGAGGGUGGUGGAAUUUCCUGUGUAGCGGUGAAAUGCGUAGAUAUAGGAAGGAACACCAGUGGCGAAGGCGACCA